This 466-nucleotide ribosomal RNA is filed under the name uncultured bacterium. RNAcentral's name for it is "partial 16S ribosomal RNA". It matches the Rfam family "Bacterial small subunit ribosomal RNA", at positions 28 to 507 of the family's 1533-position model. The record is from RNAcentral.
GACGAACGCUGGCGGUGUGCUUAACACAUGCAAGUCGAACGGUAAGGCCCUUUCGGGGGUACACGAGUGGCGAACGGGUGAGUAACACGUGAGUAACCUGCCCUCAUCUCUGGGAUAACAGUCGGAAACGGUUGCUAAUACUGGAUAUGAGCUUGCAAGGCAUCUUGUGGGUUGGAAAGAUUUUUUUGGUUGGGGAUGGACUCGCGGCCUAUCAGCUUGUUGGUGAGGUAGUGGCUCACCAAGGCUUCGACGGGUAGCCGGCCUGAGAGGGCGACCGGCCACAUUGGGACUGAGAUACGGCCCAAACUCCUACGGGAGGCAGCAGGGGGGAAUAUUGCACAAGGGACGGAAGUCUGAUGCAGCAACGCCGCGGGCGGGAUGACGGCCUUCGGGUUGUAAACCGCCUUAAAUUGUGACGAAGCUUUUUGUGACGGUAGCAGUAGAAGAAGCACCGGCUAACUACGUG